AAUUGGUUAGUUGGCUCCUCUUCUUGUUUUUUUUUUUGUAAAUAUGUUGUGUAUCUUGUCUCUUAGAGUUGUGUUCUGAAAGGAGAGAAAAAGAAAAGAGACAAGAUAAAAAUAAAAUAAAAUAAAAUAAAAUAAAAAUAAAAUAAAAAAAUAUUUGUGAAUAAUGGAUUCAAGAAGAGGAUAGUGCUUUCAAAAGGACUACAGGGCUAAAAUUAAAACCAGCAAACACUACCCUGACGGUUGCGGAUGGAUCUAUUAUAAAGUCAAUCGGUAUGGUGGAAGAUGCAACUAUUCGAAUUAAUGAGUUGGAAUUUUUACUUGACAUUUUA
Molecule: long non-coding RNA, 329 nt
Filed under: Vigna radiata
Lineage: Eukaryota; Viridiplantae; Streptophyta; Magnoliopsida; Fabales; Fabaceae
Description: long non-coding RNA (VRAD_LNC014090)
Source: RNAcentral